UGUUAAAAAGUAUAUCUAUUUCUACUAUUAAAAAUUAGAAUAGCUAAUAGAAUAACCAGACAAUUACACGUACCAAUACCUCAUUUUGACGUAUAUAGACCAGUUUUCAAUAGUAGUAACGAAUAAACUUUUUAACA
Gossypium arboreum is the source of this 137-nucleotide microRNA precursor. It matches the Rfam family "MIR7502 microRNA precursor family". The record is from Rfam. NCBI's taxonomy places the organism in Eukaryota, Viridiplantae, Streptophyta, Magnoliopsida, Malvales, Malvaceae.